ACGAACGCUGGCGGCGUGCUUAACCCAUGCCAGUCGAACGGAAAGGCCCUGCUUUUGUGGGGUGCUCGAGUGGCGAACGGGUGAGUAACACGUGAGUAACCUGCCCUUGACUUUGGGAUAACUUCAGGAAACUGGGGCUAAUACCGGAUAGGAGCUCCUGCUGCAUGGUGGGGGUUGGAAAGUUUCGGCGGUUGGGGAUGGACUCGCGGCUUAUCAGCUUGUUGGUGGGGUAGUGGCUUACCAAGGCUUUGACGGGUAGCCGGCCUGAGAGGGUGACCGGCGACAUUGGGACUGAGAGACGGCCCAGACUCCUACGGGAGGCAGCAGUGGGGAAUAUUGCACAAUGGGCGGAAGCCUGAUGCAGCAACGCCGCGUGCGGGAUGACGGCCUUCGGGUUGUAAACCGCUUUCGCCUGUGACGAAGCGUGAGUGACGGUAAUGGGUAAAGAAGCACCGGCUAACUACGUG
RNAcentral lists this ribosomal RNA (467 nucleotides) under uncultured bacterium. Its description in RNAcentral is "partial 16S ribosomal RNA". It matches the Rfam family "Bacterial small subunit ribosomal RNA", at positions 29 to 507 of the family's 1533-position model. The record is from RNAcentral.